Long non-coding RNA from Priapulus caudatus, 485 nucleotides. RefSeq lists it as uncharacterized. The transcript is spliced from 3 exons. The record is from RefSeq and is a predicted model, not a curated record. NCBI's taxonomy places the organism in Eukaryota, Metazoa, Priapulida, Priapulimorpha, Priapulimorphida, Priapulidae.
GCGUCGUGGUGGUGUGUGCUGGCCGAGGCUUCGCAUGGGCUUGUUCCUACUGGAUGCUCGAGCGAAGGAAUCGUGUCCGAUUCUGGUUGCGCUCCACAGAUUUUCCGGCGUCGUCAUGCUGGUUAGCAGCCACGUGGUGACCAGGUACUCCCUGGCCAAGGGGUCGUUGUUGGCGAGAGCGCUGCUGCCAGUGCAUACGCUAGAGGGGACACAUAGACCACUCCAGCUUGUCGCCGACGUGCCGUUACUCCACACGACGGUGAAGCCAAUUGCUCCGACACCGUCCGCUACGGCCGCCGUGGCGCCGUAUAUCGCCGAGUGGCUGGUUCCUACGUGUGUAAAUAUAAGGAACCACUGAAUAUAAGGAGGAUAGCUGCGGGCGCAUAGCAGCUACGGGGAGACGUCAACUACGGGGACACGGCAUCUACGGAGGCAUGGCAACUACGGGGACACGGCAUCUACGGAGGCAUGGCAACUACGGACAC